GUCCUUGCCGUAAACGAUGUAUACUUGAUGUAGCCGGGCUCAACCCUGGCUGUGUCGUAGCUAACGCGAUAAGUAUACCGCCUGGGGAGUACGCUCGCAAGGGUGAAACUCAAAAGAAUUGACGGGGGCCCGCACAAGCAGUGGAGCAUGUGGUUUAAUUCGAUGCAACGCGAAGAACCUUACCCAGGCUCGAAAUGCAAUGGGCGAAUACAGAAAUGUAUUCUUCCGCAAGGACUAUUGUAUAGGUGCUGCAUGGCUGUCGU
This 263-nucleotide ribosomal RNA is filed under the name uncultured bacterium. RNAcentral describes it as "partial 16S ribosomal RNA". It matches the Rfam family "Bacterial small subunit ribosomal RNA", at positions 793 to 1055 of the family's 1533-position model. The record is from RNAcentral.